CUAAAUUCCAGCUUUGGUGACAGAGCCGAGACGCUGUCUUUUAAAAAAGUGACAUGUACAUAAUGCCUGGCAUCUAGCAGUGACAGCACAGGCUUGGAGAGGAACUUGAGUCCAAGGCUUGAGCAUUGUGGCUUAUUGAGUGAGUCCCCUAUAAGGUGCCUGACUCCCCAGGGUGGAGACUGCAGGGUAAGAGUGAACAGGUCAACAGUCCCUGCCUGCAAGCACCUUACAGCUAAGGGAUAGAAUCAUUUGGCCCUUGAGUCCAGUCACCCUGUCUGAGUUCAUUCAGCAUGUUCACUUGUGUUUGCCAGGCACUGGGGCCACAAGGGCACAUCAUUCUAUACUCUGUUCUGCAAGGCUCACCAAGGGCAGGAGAAUCUGCCCAACCUUGGAUGCCAAGGCCAGGCCCGCCUCUCGUCCCUUCUCUUCCCAGGCCCCCCCGGCCUGCCACUUCAGUCAACUCCACUGAGGAGACUGCCACUACAGUUGUUGCUGCUGCCUCCUCCACCAGCAUCCCUAGCUCAGAGGCCACGACCCCAACCCCAGGAGCCUCCCCACCAGCCCCUGAAAUGGAAAGGCCUCCAGCUCCUGAGUCAGUGGGCACAGAGGAGAUGCCUGAGGAUGGAGAGCCUGAUGCAGCAGAGCUCCGCCGGCGCCGCCUGCAGAAGCUGGAGUCUCCUGUUGCCCACUGACACUGCCCCAGCCCAGCCCCAGCCCCUGCUCUUUUGAGCAGCCCUCGCUGGAACAUGUCCUGCCACCAAGUGCCAGCUCCCUCUCUGUCUGCACCAGGGAGUAGUACCCCCAGCUCUGAGAAAGAGGCGGCAUCCCCUAGGCCAAGUGGAAAGAGGCUGGGGUUCCCAUUUGACUCCAGUCCCAGGCAGCCAUGGGGAUCUCGGGUCAGUUCCAGCCUUCCUCUCCAACUCUUCAGCCCUGUGUUCUGCUGGGGCCAUGAAGGCAGAAGGUUUAGCCUCUGAGAAGCCCUCUUCUUCCCCCACCCCUUUCCAGGAGAAGGGGCUGCCCCUCCAAGCCCUACUUGUAUGUGCGGAGUCACACUGCAAUGCCGAACAGUAUUAGCUCCCGUUCCCAAGUGUGGACUCCAGAGGGGCUGGAGGCAAGCUAUGAACUUGCUCGCUGGCCCACCCCUAAGACUGGUACCCAUUUCCUUUUCUUACCCUGAUCUCCCCAGAAGCCUCUUGUGGUGGUGGCUGUGCCCCCUAUGCCCUGUGGCAUUUCUGCGUCUUACUGGCAACCACACAACUCAGGGAAAGGAAUGCCUGGGAGUGGGGGUGCAGGCGGGCAGCACUGAGGGACCCUGCCCCGCCCCUCCCCCCAGGCCCCUUUCCCCUGCAGCUUCUCAAGUGAGACUGACCUGUCUCACCCAGCAGCCACUGCCCAGCCGCACUCCAGGCAAGGGCCAGUGCGCCUGCUCCUGACCACUGCAAUCCCAGCGCCCAAGGAAGGCCACUUCUCAACUGGCAGAACCUCUGAAGUUUAGAAUUGGAAUUACUUCCUUACUAGUGUCUUUUGGCUUAAAUUUUGUCUUUUGAAGUUGAAUGCUUAAUCCCGGGAAAGAGGAACAGGAGUGCCAGACUCCUGGUCUUUCCAGUUUAGAAAAGGCUCUGUGCCAAGGAGGGACCACAGGAGCUGGGACCUGCCUGCCCCUGUCUUUUCCCCUUGGUUUUGUGUUACAAGAGUUGUUGGAGACAGUUUCAGAUGAUUAUUUAAUUUGUAAAUAUUGUACAAAUUUUAAUAGCUUAAAUUGUAUAUACAGCCAAAUAAAAACUUGCAUUAACAAUUGGUGGGGUUUGUGUCACAGAAUCGAUCAAAUCAGUGUCGGGCUCCUUGCUGUGGCUGUACACUUGAAAAUGGAAUGGAAUCUCCAGGAGUGAGGGUUUCCAUGGAAGCCAGCACUAUCCUUGGGGACACCACUGACCAUUAACAGAUUAGGAAGAUGUGCCCAUUUUACACACAGAGAAGCAGCCCAGAGUUCAGUGCCCUGCUUCAGGGCAGAGACCAAGUUGGGGAGUCAGGAACUGAAAGCUGUCUUAGCCAGUUUGGGGGUAGGGUGGGGUCUCAGGCCUUUGGCCCCUGUGACUCCAAGUAUAAGGCAUAUAUGAAGGCUAGUGAGCUGGGGUUGGGAUGGGAUGGCAGGGUGAAAGGUCAGCAUAUUCCUGCCUGCAAACCCCUCCCCAGCCUUGAUUGCAGGUCAGGAGGCUGCGGGGGGAUGUCCCUAUGCUGGCUGUGAGUUCCCAGCCACUCCCUUGUGGUCAGGCCAGCAAGUCUGGUCUGCAAUGGAACAGUGACCAAGAACGUGCCUCCUACCUCUCUAUCAGAGCCCGGGGCUAACGUGGGCACUCUGUGCCCCAGUGCCAGCACUGUACUUUGAACAGAAGAUCUCCAAGACCCAUGCCCGAGUCAUCUGUGUUCUCCAUAACCUGCACCAAACAAGAUCUGGCCUAGAGCAAAGGCUUGGGGAUAUUUGCAACAGUGAGCUUUGGAGGGCCAAGGAAACAAAGUGCCCAGUGGCUCUGCCCUGUGCUACCUUCCCCUAAACUGGGGUUGGGCUACUGCUUCCACCAAAUAACAACUAGAAUUUGAAUUGCUGAGCCCAAGGAAAGAAAAACAAAACAGGCCAAGGUGGACCAGGCACGUGGCUCAUGCCUAUAAUCCCAACGCUUUGGGAGGCCAAGGUGGGCGGAUCACUUCGAGUCAGGAGUUUGAGACCAGCCUGGCCAACAUGGUGAAACCCCAUCUCUACUAAAAAUACAAAAAUUAGCAGGCUGUGGUGGUGGGCGCCUGUAAUCCCAGCUACUCAAGAGGCUGAGGCAGGAGAAUCCCUUGAUCCCAGAGGUGGAAGUUGCAGUGAGCCAAGAUCAUGCCACUGCACUCCACCCUGGGCAACAGAGUGAGACUCCGUCUCAGAAAACAAAAAAGAACAGGCCAAGAUAGGAGGGAGAGAAAGCUGCUGACGCCCCCCAUUAGCCUGGUGAUCCCUAUUUGGUCUCCCACAUUAGGCACUCUCCCCCAGCAUGUACAUAGAGUUGUUUUCUCCUUUAUGCAAGCAAGGCCUGACCCCAAAGUCCUUUAGCCCUAGUUUCUGUAUCCCCUGUCUCAGGGGCUCCAACACCCACCUCCCUCCUCCUGAGGCCCCCUAGACUUGAUCCACAGGGCAUGCUGACAUGCAGGCUGCUCGGCUGGGCCUCAGAAGCCUUUCUCCAAGAGCCAGGCUUUAAGCUCCUGGUCAAAGUAGCCCUUGAUCCGUAGGGUACCUGUCACCUCAUUGACCUGGGUGACGGGUGUCUUCCCCAGCAGCGGGCUCAGAAAAUCUUCCACAUCUUUCUGC
RNAcentral lists this long non-coding RNA (3343 nucleotides) under Pan troglodytes (chimpanzee). RNAcentral's name for it is "long non-coding RNA NONPTRT003084". Lineage: Eukaryota; Metazoa; Chordata; Mammalia; Primates; Hominidae. The record is from RNAcentral.